GUAAAUUUAUGUUGAAAUUUCAAUUCAAUUAUAAAUGUUAGUUCAAUUAUAAACGAGAUUUAUUCUUGUUGUGUGUAUACACAGCAAUGCUGCGUGAUUGACUGGGAAGAAUGACGAGGCCAAGUAUAAG
Bradysia coprophila is the source of this 130-nucleotide long non-coding RNA. The record is from RefSeq and is a predicted model, not a curated record. NCBI's taxonomy places the organism in Eukaryota, Metazoa, Arthropoda, Insecta, Diptera, Sciaridae.